AGCUUGAUCGGUUUGUGACCAAUUGGAAGAAGAUGGUGAGCAAAACCAAGAGGCAAGCCUUGAUGAACAAUUUGGGACCACCAUCCGCCAGUGCUGCAGCUUCAGCUGCAACUACAUCCGUUGCCGAAGCAGAUGGGCCUACUACUAGUGAGAAAAACGAUUCCUUCAAAAAGGCCAAGAAGGGUGAUGUUGGUGAAGAGGAUGUAGAGAUAGAGGAUGAUGAACCAGCUACCCAUUUUCCUCCCGUAGAAAUUGAGAAGGAUGAAGGUGGUGGGCGGGAUCAAGAGAAUGGUGGUGGUGGUGGUAGUAGUAGCUCUAGUAGUUCUAGUAGCUCAAGCAGUGGCUCCUCCUCUUCUAGUGAUUCUGAUUCAGGAAGUUCAUCCGGAAGUGACUCUGAUGCUGAUGAUGCACACUCUUGAGAUUUGUUGAUUCAAGCAGUGCAUAGGCUGUUGCUGAAUUUUCUUUUAUCGAGGUAUAAAGUUGGGGACUCGAAUUCUGAUAAGUUGGGGAAAACCAGCUGUUUGUAAACACAUGGGCAACCUAGGAAGAAAAAUUGAUCUGCUUAUAUGACAUAGGCAAAAUCAAAAAGCUCAGGGAACUUUGUAGUGUUGAUGGCAGAGAAGUUAUGGCGUUAGGGAUCACAAUUUUAGGAAUUUUAGAGAUGGUCCCUCUGUUAAUGAGAGUGAGAUAUGUAGAUAGAUAGUUGAGGAGAAGACACCUUUUGUACAGUUGGUUUACACUAAAUAUUUGAUUUUUCUU
Molecule: unclassified non-coding RNA, 759 nt
Filed under: Hevea brasiliensis (rubber tree)
Lineage: Eukaryota; Viridiplantae; Streptophyta; Magnoliopsida; Malpighiales; Euphorbiaceae
Source: RNAcentral